Molecule: long non-coding RNA, 694 nt
Organism: Bubalus bubalis (water buffalo)
Lineage: Eukaryota; Metazoa; Chordata; Mammalia; Artiodactyla; Bovidae
Exons: 2
Source: RefSeq, a predicted model, not a curated record
CUUAAAGGAGGCCUGGUGCCCAGCACAGCUGAGGAUAGCCCCAACCAGUCAGGGCUGGCUCUCCACAAAACUCUCCAGUAAGGAGGUGAGGGGAACGACUUAAUGAGCACCUCCUGGGCUGGUCUAGGAGACGUCCAGGAGCAGGAGCCCUGGGCAGGACCAGCUGCUGGGUUGUGAGAAGUAAGGAGCCUCAGGUGGAUGGAGGCAGUGGGAAGUAGGUAGGAAGGGAGAGGGCAAGGUCUUCCUCAUGGGGGAGGCAGCUCCCCUCCACCCCCAGGCACCCAGGCCUUGAAGCAAACGUUUACCUCCUGGGAGACACCUGGCGCACCAGAGACCCUGCUCAGAACCCUAGACCCACCCAGGUGCCCCUCCCGGCCUGCCAUACUCCUCAGGAAGCCCACAGUCUGCAGCCACAGGCCGCGUCUUGUCUGCCAAGUCUCCAGUCCUUCCAGCAGCACCCAUCUCACGUGGCCGGCGCCGGAAUCCGGAGGUGGUGGACGGAUUUCGUUGUAAGAGAAGCAAAGGCCCCGACACGCCUGGGACGCGGACGGCGGGGGAGCGAGACAGCCUCCUGGGUCGCAGGGUCCCCCUCCGGCGGUGCUUGGCGCCCUCCCCUGCGCUCAGCCCCGGCGCCGGGGCGCAGAAGGUGGCCCCCCAUCCUCUCGGAGCAGAGCCCAGGGCGCAGAGAGCUGGA